Molecule: transfer RNA, 64 nt
Filed under: Allorhynchium sp. GX
Lineage: Eukaryota; Metazoa; Arthropoda; Insecta; Hymenoptera; Vespidae
Description: tRNA-Arg
Source: RNAcentral
AAUUAUGAAGUAAAUUUUACAAUUUAAUUUCGACUUAAAUUUUUGGUUAUUUAACCCAUUUUUA